This 520-nucleotide ribosomal RNA is filed under the name uncultured Glomus. RNAcentral describes it as "SSU rRNA". It matches the Rfam family "Eukaryotic small subunit ribosomal RNA", at positions 569 to 1087 of the family's 1831-position model. The record is from RNAcentral. Lineage: Eukaryota; Fungi; Glomeromycota; Glomeromycetes; Glomerales; Glomeraceae.
AGCAGCCGCGGUAAUUCCAGCUCCAAUAGCGUAUAUUAAAGUUGUUGCAGUUAAAAAGCUCGUAGUUGAAUUUCGAGAUCAAAUUGUUGGUCGUGCCUUGGUACGCACUGGCAUUAUUGGUUUCUCCCUUCUGAAGAACCAUGAUGUCAUUAAUUUGGUGUCUUGGGGAAUCAGGACUGUUACUUUGAAAAAAUUAGAGUGUUUAAAGCGGGCUCGCGCUUGAAUACAUUAGCAUGGAAUAAUGAAAUAGGACGUUUUGAUUCUAUUUUGUUGGUUUCUAGGAUCGACGUAAUGAUUAAUAGGGAUAGUUGGGGGCAUUAGUAUUCAAUUGUCAGAGGUGAAAUUCUUGGAUUUUAUUGAAGACUAACUACUGCGAAAGCAUUUGCCAAGGAUGUUUUCAUUAAUCAAGAACGAAAGUUAGGGGAUCGAAGACGAUCAGAUACCGUCGUAGUCUUAACACUAAACUAUGCCGACUAGGGAUCGGAUGAUGUUAAUUUUUUAAUGUACUCAUUCGGCGUAC